GUGGGGAAUUUUGGACAAUGGGCGAAAGCCUGAUCCAGCAAUGCCGCGUGUGUGAAGAAGGCCUUCGGGUUGUAAAGCACUUUUGGCAGGGAAGAAACAGUGCGUGCUAAUACCAUGCGCGAAUGACGGUACCUGCAGAAUAAGCACCGGCUAACUACGUGCCAGCAGCCGCGGUAAUACGUAGGGUGCAAGCGUUAAUCGGAAUUACUGGGCGUAAAGCGUGCGCAGGCGGCUUUGUAAGACGGAUGUGAAAGCCCCGGGCUCAACCUGGGAAGUGCAUUCGUGACUGCAAGGCUAAAGUGUGUCAGAGGGAGGUGGAAUUCCGCGUGUAGCAGUGAAAUGCGUAGAGAUGCGGAGGAACACCGAUGGCGAAGGCAGCCUCCUGGGAUAACACUGACGCUCAGGCACGAAAGCGUGGGGAGCAAACAGGAUUAGAAACCCCAGUAGUCC
Molecule: ribosomal RNA, 450 nt
Filed under: uncultured bacterium
Lineage: Bacteria
Description: partial 16S ribosomal RNA
Rfam family: Bacterial small subunit ribosomal RNA
Source: RNAcentral